GACGAACGCUGGCGGCGUGCUUAACACAUGCAAGUCGAACGGUAAGGCUCCAGCUUGCUGGGGUACACGAGUGGCGAACGGGUGAGUAACACGUGGGUGACCUGCCCUGCACUUCGGGAUAAGCCUGGGAAACUGGGUCUAAUACCGGAUAGGACCGCACCGUGAGGGUGUGGUGGAAAGUUUUUUCGGUGUGGGAUGGGCCCGCGGCCUAUCAGCUUGUUGGUGGGGUAAUGGCCUACCAAGGCGGCGACGGGUAGCCGGCCUGAGAGGGUGGACGGCCACAUUGGGACUGAGACACGGCCCAUACUCCUACGGGAGGCAGCAGUGGGGAAUAUUGCACAAUGGGCGGAAGCCUGAUGCGGCGACGCCGCGUGGGGGAUGACGGCCUUCGGGUUGUAAACUCCUUUCACCAUCGACGAAGGGUUUCUGACGGUAGAUGGAGAAGAAGCACCGGCUAACUACGUGCCAGCAGCCGCGGUAAUACGUAGGGUGCGAGCGUUGUCCGGAAUUACUGGGCGUAAAGAGCUCGUAGGUGGUUUGUCGCGUCGUCUGUGAAAUUCCGGGGCUUAACUCCGGGCGUGCAGGCGAUACGGGCAUAACUUGAGUACUGUAGGGGAGACUGGAAUUCCUGGUGUAGCGGUGAAAUGCGCAGAUAUCAGGAGGAACACCGGUGGCGAAGGCGGGUCUCUGGGCAGUAACUGACGCUGAGGAGCGAAAGCAUGGGGAGCGAACAGGAUUAGAUACCCUGGUAGUCCAUGCCGUAAACGGUGGGCGCUAGGUGUGGGUUUCCUUCCACGGGAUCCGUGCCGUAGCUAACGCAUUAAGCGCCCCGCCUGGGGAGUACGGCCGCAAGGCUAAAACUCAAAGGAAUUGACGGGGGCCCGCACAAGCGGCGGAGCAUGUGGAUUAAUUCGAUGCAACGCGAAGAACCUUACCUGGGCUUGACAUAUACAGGAUCGCGCCAGAGAUGGUGUUUCCCUUGUGGCUUGUAUACAGGUGGUGCAUGGUUGUCGUCAGCUCGUGUCGUGAGAUGUUGGGUUAAGUCCCGCAACGAGCGCAACCCUUGUCUUAUGUUGCCAGCACGUUGUGGUGGGGACUCGUAAGAAACUGCCGGGGUUAACUCGGAGGAAGGUGGGGAUGACGUCAAAUCAUCAUGCCCCUUAUGUCCAGGGCUUCACACAUGCUACAAUGGUCGGUACAGUGGGUUGCCAGUCCGUGAGGGCGAGCUAAUCCCGCAAAGCCGGUCUCAGUUCGGAUCGGGGUCUGCAACUCGACCCCGUGAAGUCGGAGUCGCUAGUAAUCGCAGAUCAGCAACGCUGCGGUGAAUACGUUCCCGGGCCU
RNAcentral lists this ribosomal RNA (1341 nucleotides) under uncultured bacterium. Its description in RNAcentral is "16S ribosomal RNA". It matches the Rfam family "Bacterial small subunit ribosomal RNA", at positions 28 to 1381 of the family's 1533-position model. The record is from RNAcentral.